UACGAAGGGUGCAAACGUUGCUCGGAAUCAUUGGGCGUAAAGCGCACGUAGGCGGCCUCGCAAGUCUGAUGUGAAAUCCCUCGGCUCAACCGAGGACGUGCAUCGGAAACUGCGGGGCUUGAGUACUGAAGAGGAUCGCGGAAUUCCCGGUGUAGAGGUGAAAUUCGUAGAUAUCGGGAGGAACACCAGUGGCGAAGGCGGCGAUCUGGGCAGAUACUGACGCUGAGGUGCGAAAGCGUGGGGAGCAAACAGGAUUAGAAACCCCUGUAGUCC
Molecule: ribosomal RNA, 273 nt
Filed under: uncultured bacterium
Lineage: Bacteria
Description: partial 16S ribosomal RNA
Rfam family: Bacterial small subunit ribosomal RNA
Source: RNAcentral